RNAcentral lists this ribosomal RNA (253 nucleotides) under uncultured bacterium. RNAcentral's name for it is "partial 16S ribosomal RNA". It matches the Rfam family "Bacterial small subunit ribosomal RNA", at positions 524 to 776 of the family's 1533-position model. The record is from RNAcentral.
UACGUAGGGUGCGAGCGUUAAUCGGAAUUACUGGGCGUAAAGCGUGCGCAGGUGGUUGUGUAAGCUUGAUGUGAAAUCCCCGGGCUUAACCUGGGAAUGGCAUUGAGGACUGCACGGCUAGAGUGUGGCAGAGGGGGGUGGAAUUCCGCGUGUAGCAGUGAAAUGCGUAGAGAUGCGGAGGAACACCGAUGGCGAAGGCAGCCCCCUGGGCCAACACUGACGCUCAGGCACGAAAGCGUGGGGAGCAAACAGG